Molecule: ribosomal RNA, 406 nt
Filed under: Leptobrachella minima
Lineage: Eukaryota; Metazoa; Chordata; Amphibia; Anura; Megophryidae
Description: Leptolalax minimus partial 16S ribosomal RNA
Rfam family: Bacterial large subunit ribosomal RNA
Source: RNAcentral
UCUGGACAUUAUAGAAGGUAACGCCUGCCCAGUGACUAUAUGUUAAACGGCCGCGGUAUACUGACCGUGCAAAGGUAGCGUAAUCACUUGUCUUUUAAAUGGAGACUAGUAUGAACGGCAUCACGAGAACUAAUCUGUCUCCCUCCCCCAAUCAGUGAAACUGAUCUCCCCGUGCAGAAGCGGGGAUAAUAUCAUAAGACGAGAAGACCCUGUGGAGCUUAAAAUCAAAAAUCAACUGCUUUAUUCACCUUUACUAAAAGAGACAUUUUCGCAGACCUGACCUAGAUUUUCAGCUGGGGCGGCUGUGGAGAAAAAUAAACCCUCCACGAAUAUUUAUGCUGAAAGCCACCGCUACAGGCAUUAACUAGCUUAACUUUAAUUGACCCAAUUUUUGAUCAACGGACCA